ACAUGAGAUUUGGAGGGGACAACCAUUCCAACUAUAUCAUCAUGGUUCAACCAAUAUGAGGAAACAAACUGCCUGGGAAGAAAGUGAAAGAGUUCCCUACUAGAAGUUUCCAAACUCCAAGCAGGAGAGAGAGAACAGGAAAUCAGGAAGCAGAAGACAAGUGACCUAGGGUAUAAUCACAGUGAGGCCAGAGGCAGAGCCCCCUCAUAUCACCCUGACUUAAAGCAAACAACCUGCCACAUAAAGAGGAAGAAAAGCUGCCACAGCCUGCUUCUGAGAGGCAGCAUUUCAUGUAAAGGAGUGGGCAUGGCCCUACUAACUUCAGCAGUAAACAGAUUAAGACACCAAGAAACAGAAAGAACACAAUAUGUUGAAACAUUAAGUCUCAGCAAUAUUUGAGAAAAUCUUUCAUAAUAAAAAGAAAAUAACCUCGGACCAAGAAAGAUUGCUUUUAGAUGAAAAACAUGAUUUCAGAAAUGAAUACCCAAAUGGAGGCAAUAAAUAGUGAUACUGCUAAAAACUGAAUCAAUGAAUUAAAAGAAACCUUUGGAAAUUCUCCGAGGUCACACACACACACAUACACACUCACAAACACACACACAAAACAAAAGGGAAAGGAGGUAAAUAUAAUAUGCAAAAGGCUAAGAUUCCUAGAUAAGAGAGUCAGGCAAUCCAUCACAGGAAUUUGAGAACUGAGCUGACAGAGGAGACAGAGAAGAGGCAUUCAAAGAAAUUAUCAUAAGGACCUCUGCUUCCAACCA
RNAcentral lists this long non-coding RNA (761 nucleotides) under Homo sapiens (human). RNAcentral describes it as "HSALNT0223387". The record is from RNAcentral. Lineage: Eukaryota; Metazoa; Chordata; Mammalia; Primates; Hominidae.